RNAcentral lists this ribosomal RNA (497 nucleotides) under uncultured bacterium. RNAcentral's name for it is "partial 16S ribosomal RNA". It matches the Rfam family "Bacterial small subunit ribosomal RNA", at positions 28 to 507 of the family's 1533-position model. The record is from RNAcentral.
GACGGACGCUGGCGGCGUGCCUAAUACAUGCCAGUUGAGCGCUGAAGGUUGGUACUUGUACCAACUGGAUGAGCAGCGAACGGGUGAGUAACGCGUGGGGAAUCUGCCUUUGAGCGGGGGACAACAUUUGGAAACGAAUGCUAAUACCGCAUAAAAACUUUAAACACAAGUUUUAAGUUUGAAAGAUGCAAUUGCAUCACUCAAAGAUGAUCCCGCGUUGUAUUAGCUAGUUGGUGAGGUAAAGGCUCACCAAGGCGAUGAUACAUAGCCGACCUGAGAGGGUGAUCGGCCACAUUGGGACUGAGACACGGCCCAAACUCCUACGGGAGGCAGCAGUAGGGAAUCUUCGGCAAUGGACGAAAGUCUGACCGAGCAACGCCGCGUGAGUGAAGAAGGGUUUCGGAUCGUAAAACUCUGUUGGUAGAGAAGAACGUUGGUGAGAGUGGAAAGCUCAUCAAGUGACGGUAACUACCCAGAAAGGGACGGCUAACUACGUG